RNAcentral lists this long non-coding RNA (10704 nucleotides) under Coffea arabica (coffee). RNAcentral's name for it is "long non-coding RNA (CARA_LNC001548)". Lineage: Eukaryota; Viridiplantae; Streptophyta; Magnoliopsida; Gentianales; Rubiaceae. The record is from RNAcentral.
GUUUUUUUUUUUUUUUUUUUGCAUUGGAAGCAUAUUCUCAAUGGAUCGAUGCAAGUUCUUGAGGAAGAAAAUGGCAUUCACACUUCACAGCCAUUGACUAUGAAGUUGCUCCUACUGCAUAAAAAGGUCAGAUGAAUAACUUUUGCAGUAAAUGCCAAACCAAUGUCAAUAACGCAGCAUCCAGAGUUUAGGUCAAGCUUCCUUAAACGGUCCCUGACUUUCAUCAAGUUUUGUUAUCUGCAGGGGGUGGAAAUAUUCAUGACCAGCAAACCCUAAGGGUGCACAAGAUUCAAACUACUCGUCUCAAACUCGCGAAUAUCUCGUCAAUAGCUUGAUUUGGACUCGAUGUUGAGCGAGCUCAAGUCGAGUUCGAGCAAUUCGUUUGAACUCGUGAGUCAAUUUCAAACUCAAAAUUCUAGUACUCGAAGCUCAACGAGCUCAUUCAAGUAGUUGCAUUUUUUAAUUAAAUUAUUAGUAUUACAAAAUUACUCGUUUAGGUAAGUUAUUUGUGAAAUUUAUUAUAGAUAUUAGAACCAUUAGCCAAGCUUGAGGUUGAGUACUUGAGCUUGAUUAGGUUUGACAACUAUAUCGAGUUUUUUCAAGUCGAGCUCGAUGUCAAGUAGAAGCCUUUCGAGUUGAAUUUAGACUUCGACUCUUAGAUCCGUUCAAACUUGAGCACCCCUUCAUUCAUCAAAUUUGAGCUCGAGCAUUGUGAUAUUUGAAUUAGACUCGACUUUAAUGCAUCUCUACCAAACACAAGAUAUCUUUGUAUUUUUUUUCGUAUAAUCCUUUUUUUUUGUUGAAAGAGAUGAUGGAAACUGACGUCGUAUCAAAUCAUAAAAAUGGCAAUAAAGUCUUAUUUAGCCAAAUAUGGAAAAAAAGAGAACGAGAGAAUCAGAGUAUCUAUUGGAGGACUUCAAAAAGGCAAAAAAUUUUAGGAAGGAGCACGUAGUGAGUACUGAAGGACCAAUUAAGCCUUCUGGACCAUGCACAACAAAAAUCAUGCCCUUUGUCUUUCUAUUACGCAAAUUAGGCGGGUGCAGCUGUAAGAUACAUUAUGAGAUUAUAUGUUGUUUUCAUAGUUGCUGAUGUUGAAAUCUAAUCUCUCAACAAAUGGCCAUUGCUUGCCUAAUAUGCCUUGCUUCACCUCGUUGAGAAAAUCCCUCUGACUCAAUCAUAUCAACCAUCAAUCUUAUUCUAUUUUGCAGAAUAUAUAUUUAAACGAAAAAAGUCAAAGAAUUGUUUCGUGUAUGCUUUCAUUGAAUUUUGUUGAAGAACGACUUUAAUCUCUUUUGUUUUGAAUAAAUUUGCCCCAUGAUCUAAUUAUGUCCGUAGCUGAACGACUAUUGAGCAAAAAAUAAUAUCAAGAACUCGCGCAGUUAGUGAAAGCGUCCAUGUAUAAACAGCCACAAUUGCAGUGUAAAUGCAUGACUUGUGAAAAAAGAUAAAAUAAAGUCACAUUGAGUAAUUUUUUCUCACGGAAAAUUUUCUAUAACGCAUAGAGCCAGUUGAAUGAGGUAAAAAGUGGAACAAAUUUAUAAGAGACCACCAAAUUCAUUUUUUGACCGCAAAUAUAGUUAAAGGAAUUUACAAUGAUAUGGGGCAGAUCAUGGUUGGCUGACGGGAACUAAUUGUUGAGGCUCCAAAAGGGGCCGGAAGAUGGUGCAAUAGUUGGGCAUUUUGUGAGGGUCAGCAUACAGUAGUGUCUCCAAUCACCGAAAGGUGAAAAUAGAUGUGAAAAAUUUUUCUACCGCAUUCAUUAAUUAGUGUCUCUUUUUGAUGUGUACCUUGACCACAAAGUCCGAUAGAGAGACCAAUACAGUGUCAUUUCUUGUUUCCUUUCCUUGACCUACUGUGUUUUUUCGCAUGAUUAAUCUUAAAAUUUGUUAAGAUCAAAAAAUUACUCGAAUGAAUUACUAUUGUGUGCAACUGUGCAUGUGGACAUAUUGAGAUUUUUACUCAGAUUUAUAUGCCCGUUGAAAGGAAAGGGUUAGAUUGAACAUUAACUUACGUAUUUAUGGAAAGGGAAGAGUUAAAUUGAAUAGUAACGUAGAAUAGAUUGCAAGUAAGAAAUUCUGAAUUCAACACAUCCCACCACCUAAUAUCGGUUGAAAAUGUGAUGGAUGGAUCACAUGCAUGAUACACUUUGUGAGAGCCGAGGAAAAGCGAAACGGGGAAUAAUGUUCCACACCCCAAAUUCGCAUCCCUAAACUUUUCCACUUUUGCUUCAUUCUAGGCUUCGUUUUUCACUGCAUGGCCUGGAGCCCUCCUGGGAGAGGGGAAAGCAGCUGCAAAUUCGUGUUUCAGUGGUAAAAAAACCCACAAGCAUUCGGGGCACAUUGUGGCCUCAAAUUUGCUAGUUUGGUACAGCUAGCACUUAACAACCAUCAGGCUUGAAACAAAGUCAGUACAAAUGACUUUUGUAAGUGAGCAUGUUUUCAUAACAUGUUGUUUUUGUUGUUUGAAAUACUCUACUAGGUUUGUCAAUUGCUAAAAAAUUGCGUUUGGACUUAAUCUUUUUAAACCAAAAAAAAAAAAAAAAAACCAACCAAAGCAAGCUGAGAAGGCAUAUGAAACGCUUUUGAGUUUCCGCAAUUGAUCUACAAAGAUUCUCUUAAACUUGCUUUUUGUCAACUCAACAAAGUUUCAAAAGCAAUAAUUAGAGUUAACUGCAUAUGUUUAAUAGCAUUUGCACUUGCAAUUAUUGGCCACCUUCCAUCUAAUCUCUCCCUAUCGCCCUGUGCGGGCUCUGCGUGUGUGUGGUGUGUGUGAAGGAUAAGGCUCUUUCGGUCGUUAUCUGACCAAUUGAUAUCUCCAAUCGAGUUAAUAUCAUUGGCUUGCUGUCAUUUCACAGCUUGUUUUGUAAUUACUUAUGGUCACAAACCCAUAAACACAAAACGCCAGUGCACGUAUUUGCUCCUUUUCUACUAGUAUUUCAAUUCAGUUUCACAUCACUUUCUGAAUAUAUAUACUCAUGUUCCCAUAAAACUCCUGAAUCCUGACGAAUUUAUUCUUUGAUUUUCGACUUUUUUUUUUUUCAAUUUGUAGGAUGAAUUAAUUCAAUGUUCUUUUCCAUUUAUAACCUGCCGACAUAUUGUAAAGGAUGUCUAAUAUUUGACAUUUUGCCUUUUCUCUUUGUUUUGUUCUAAUAUUUGUAAUUUUCUUCUUUGGUCUCUCAUCAUAGGAACCCACAAAGCAUUACCCAUUUUAUUUGAUGAGUGAUCAGAAAAGAAGUAGGAAAUUCUUUGAAAAAAAAAAAGGGCUGUUUAAUCGGUGGGUGCAUUUGAUUUGUUCAAUCGGUAGUAGUAGAUAAAGGGCUGUUUGUUAAAUGUUUCAAUCUCCUUGAACAAGAUAAUCAAUUGCAUGCAGUGAUGUAUUAUUUUUUAGAUCUAACUUCUUUUUAGAUUUUUUUUUUCCAAGUCAAUUCUAAUAUUUUGUGCUUCUCUGCUGAAACAUAUAAUCUUCCUUCACCAAAUAGCAAAUUCUCCACCAAUCAAUUAUUUUAGAAGAAACCUUUAGCAAGUGUGAAGAACAAGAUUAUAGAAGUGCAUGCGCAUGUAAUCAUUAAAUUUAAGAAUAUUGAAUAAGAAAAAUAAGUCGAAGUGGAGCUAAAAUUAAUGAACGGUAAUUAAGUAUUAAUCUAUAGCUCCUGAACUUGACGAGACUACGGAUAAAUCUCUACCCAAUGAAACACAAGCAUAUUAAUUAAGACAUAAUCCUGGGUUGAUUGAUAUGCAGCGGAGCUCUAUUGUUAUCCAAACUCAUCUGAAAUAUGGGUCCGAUCUUCUCCAUUUUUAACUUUUUCAGGAAUGUAACAAAAUUUUGCUCUCAAAUUUACUAAUAAUUGAAAGUACUCUCUCGGGUCUGGGCUAGUUGAACAGAGACGUAAAUCUGAGAAUUGACCGACUCGAAUUUUGACUUUGAUCGGUCCAGGAAAUAAUUAAUGUUGCAAGAUUAGACGGAUUUUUGUGCUUAAAAAUGGAAUACUAAUAUGUUACCAUGUUAAACAUACAUAAUUAAACAUCACUCAAAUGAAGUAUAUCUUAUAUUCUGUUCUUGCAUCUGUCUUGUCCCCCCUUCAUCUUCUUCUAUAUGUGAAUGGAGGAGCGCUCAUUCUUUUGCCGAAUUUUUAUGUACCAAUGGUUGAGCUUGAGAUGAAUGGAUGAGCAUGAUUUCCAUCAACAAAAACUAGAAGAAAGAAAAAGGAAGGCAUGAUUGUCAAUACCCCAGGACUCGUGCCUGUCUCACAAACAAGGAUUUGGUUUGCUUAAAAUGUAUGUGUCCAUUAACAUCAAGACAAAAGCAUCGGGAUAGGGACAUCGAAAUCUGGUGCCAAAUCAUUUUAUAAUUGUCAUACUUUCUUCACCUGCAUGCUUGUUGUCCCCUCCUCAUAUUAUAUACGCAAUGAACUUCUAGGGGUUCAGCAAAACUCCAUCUCCAAGAAGCCAUAAUCCUCUCUUUUCCAUCGCCCAUUACACUCUUGGAAUUACAUAGUGUAGGUCACCACAAAGAAUAAGUUUGGUAAGGAUGGGUGGCUACUUUGGGAACAAAAUCACAUUGCAACUGUUGAGAUUGACAUGAGAAUCCUAAGUUAAUGAUGAGGCAUUCAGAAACAACUCAACUGAAGAAAAAUGUGGCAUUUUUGGGUCCACCCGGUGUGAACUUUUGAGCAUUGCAGUAACGUAGCAAAUGUCCAGUUCUUGGAGAAGGAUAGAAUUAUGUUGCAGAUCUUAUCAACAGCAGAUAUUGAUGGUGCAGAAACUUCCAGUUUCUUACCCCUUUUCCGCGCCUUGCUUCUUCUUGAUCCCAGAUUCAAAGUAGAGUCCAAUCGUAUAAACCAAAAAUUUCAUGUCCAAAUCGUUUUAUCACGUUGUGGCAGAAUGAUUUUUCGAGCCCUAAUCAUCAUGUUACACCAACAACACAUGGUAGCACUUCUCUACCCGUGUGACACCUUCAAUACCACUAUUGAUUAUGUGCUUGUAGUUUUUCCUUGCACAUGUGCUUGUACUCCCCUGUGGAAACAUUUGGACAGUUGUGGUAUGAACUAGUAGCUAAUUAAAUCAUUCCACCUGCGGUACGGUGAAAAUCACUUGUCCUUCAAAUGUGGCAAACUAUAUCAGAGAACUCCUUCAACUUGUGUUUCUAUUUGCGUUUGCCUAUUUUCUAGAACUCGGGUUUCUAGUGCAUAAAAUAUUCUUCCGCACUUCACAAAUGGCAAAAUAUUUUCACGAGACAUGUACAUUUAACUCAAAAGAACAUGAAAUACGAGGGACUAAAAAUAAUUGAAUUUGGGAUUCAGAAAAUGGCACAAUUCAGGGGUUGAAACUGCAAAGUCGUAGUAGUGUAAGGAUUAUCAAAUGGUCAUACAAAAUGGUGAAACUGGAGCUCAUAUUUCUAUUCUCAGACAUUUUUAUCUUCAUCCCACUUUUUUUUUUUCUUUGUAAGUGAGAAGAUUUGAAUCCAAAAUCUCUUAUUUACAACAUCUAAAGUCCCAUUUUACCACCUAACCCAACCCUCUCCCAUCCCCGUCCCACACAUAAAAUGUCAGUUUGAUUGACUAGCUUAUUGUCGGGAAAAUAUGUGAAUAAUCAAUGCUAGGUAUCUAAAGACCGUGGAAAAAGUUGGGCUACUAUUUUUUUAUUUUCAUAAAGUAUUAGUACAUUAAAAAAAAGGAAAAAAAACUUAAAGUUUUUUAUAUUUUCAUUAAUACUGUGUAUACUGCUAAAAGAUGAACUAGAAUGCAAUUAAAACAAGGGUUUCUUUAACGGGUGCCCUGUUAAUAUACCCAAAUCAAUUGCAUAACCGGCCCAACCCAUAUUUAUUAGCAAGCUCUUGCAUGCCUUGAUUUCGGUCUUGAUUGAAUCAACGAUACGCUGGGACUGGGAGUGGAAGCUAUGGAUCAAUGGUUCUUUAAUGAUGAAGAGUCCGUCUUGUUGGGGCGGAAACUUCCCGAAAGCUAGCUGGCCGGAAUUGAACUGCUAUGGCUGAUAUGCCGGAUGAAGGUCUCAAGAAUCAUUUUAAAAAUGUAAAUGCUAUGGAUAUAAUUUUGCAGAAAUUUUGAAACUGCUUGUGGAUAAAAAGUACUAGUUUUUACCAUAGCCUUCACAAUCAGAACAGCCCAAUAAGCAAAAGCCCACGCCCAUUGAUCUGCUAUCAUACCAACGACUUCUAAUCUAAAAAAAGUAUAAAUAGUAAGAAAUAGGACCAAGUUCGGUGCUUCGACUACUACAGAGGCACUUUGAGGUUGACUAAACAACAAACACUUUUAAAUCCUUCCAGAACCCCAAAAGCAAACAGACAUUUGGGCAUGAAACUGGAUUUAAUAACAGGAACUACUUUACUUAGUCUUCAUUACCAACAGAUAUUUAGACAUGGAAUUGGAUCAGUACUGUUGAACGUGCAUAAACAUAAAAAAAAAAAAUAACUAUGAGAUGUAAAUUCCGCCCCAACAUGUAGGAGGACCAGGUGUGCAAUAUGAUGACGGAAUUGGAGACUAGAGUAUAUAUUAAACAAACCAACUCUUAAUCUAAUUACGCUAAAUAGAGAAACAUUACACUCGAUAUCCUUAAAUUUUACCCGUUCCAAGAGGCUGCCUAGAUGUGUCCCCUGAUGCCCACGCAUGGUAAUCCUUCACCAGCUGCAAACCAGAGAUGAAUGACCAGACCCAGCAGCGAGAAAAUAACCAAUUAAAAGUCAAGGAUAUCCGGACAGAGGAAUGAUAGAUUGAUAACAACAACGUAGGUUCUAAACAUAUAAAUAGGUUGAAGACAUUAAUAAUCAUGUUAUAGAAACGAAGCUAAAUUUUUUUAUUUUACUUUUGUCUCUUGCACCUCUAUAAUCUUGGAUGGCAAGUGGUAGUGGGAAGUAUUUCGUUAACCAAGCAGUCCUCAACUUGAGCAAGGUAAGAAGUUAACUAAUGGGACAAAGUACGCAUUAAAUAAAAUGAUUAAUCUUCUAUACACUGAAAACAAAUACACUAUCACCGGUGGAUGCAUGACAAUUGAUCUAAAUUUGAAUUUGAAAUCCAAAUUUUGCAUGUGUUAAGGAUCCCCUUGCAAAUCAAUCCUUUUAUCUGCAGCCCCUUGCAAUGACCAAGGCAGAUGAUGCAGCUUUACACCAUUACACACAAAAUUGAAAGGGAAGAACUAUGGGGAGCUAUGGUUAGAGUAACUUCACUGCCUUAAACUACUCUCAAGAGGGAAAAAGUUUCCUUGGCUGUGCUUCAUCUGGACCAUGCAGAUGAUGGAAGACAGUGCAAGUGACUGGAACAACUAAUAAACCUAAUGAAGUUUAUAAAACUUCUCGAGUUUAAUGACUAGUUUAGACCUCAAAUGGGACAGAAGACAUGAAAGGAUAAGUUCAGAGCCUCAGACAAGGGGACAUGACACUAGUUCUGUAUUCACUAGCUUCAGUAGACUUCAAAAGGACCCACCCACUUAACCCCCCCCCCCCAACAAAAAAAAAAAACCAAAAUAAGGGGCAAAAAGAAGACGGGGGAAAGAGGGUCAGAUUUUUUUUUUCAGGGUUUUAAUUGGAGAUUUAAAGAACAGUCAUGCUGUUUAAUGGGAGACAGAUCCUGAAACUCUUGUUAAGUCUUUGUGGGAAGAGUAAGGCCCACUCAGGAGCGCUAUUGAAUGCAUGAAGCUUCUCCCCAGGAAGUGGUUGAUGAAAGGUAAAAUUGGCAAAAGGCUUUGUAUGAAUUAUGGAACCAAGGGUGCCAAAAAAACAAAGGCACAGAAUGCAGCAGCACAUAAAACCAAAGAACCCACUAUACCUCUAGUCGGGUGAAGAUACUGGAAAAACAGGCCACAAUAGACAAGAAGGCAAGAAGAUGCGGAAGCUCUGGAAGUCAAUCAGUGACUGUGAUAAAGCUACUCGCAACCUUAAGAAGAUGUGGAAGAUCGGAAAACCAACUUAACACUCCCCACCACAAUAUGAGCUGACAGCCAAAAUAACAGCUUAAGACAGAUUUUGUUCCACCUCUCAGCAACAUGCACAAGAACCUUCCUUUCCCAAAAGACACCCCAUGCCCUUCCUCUCCCACCAUGACCAAAAUCUAGAAGGUUAGUUAUUCCAAACCAGGUAACUUUGGACAAAUUCAACAUCAAUCCUAAUUUGCAACAUUGCCUUCGUAUUAAUAUGAAUUCCCUUCCCAUCCAUUUAAUGUCACAUCACAAGUAGUACAUGCACAUAGAGGUCACUCAUAAACCUCAAAAUGCCAGCCUUAACAUAUAAUAAAUUCCCCUUCCCUUCCAUAGAAUGGCCUUCACGUUUUUCGGGUAAACAUCAUAAACAAACUUCACAGUUAGGCAGGAUAGGAACCAAACAGUUACAAUUAAUUUGUCGUAUUCCAAAAUCCAAGUCCUCCAUUGUACUUUCCUGAGUAUUUUAUCUUUUCACUCAUAAAGCUAGAGUAUGUAAAGAAGGUAGACUUCACAAGUCAAACGACAAAAAUGGAAGAGAACAAUAGCUACAGGCAUAUAUGCACAGGAAUCAUAAAAGAGACCAACUAUCUUGAGCAGAUUUAACUGAAAUUAGAGUUAAAGGCUAUGCCAACAAAUUUAUUUCCAAAAUCUUUGCACAUUUUGGCAUACCUGGGCCAUAAACCGGGGAAGCAUGAUCCUUAGAACUUGUCCUAGGACCUGGGUGCCAGUCGAUUCAAUUGCUGCUUUUGGAAGUGCUUGAAAGGGAAAAGGGAUCUCAAUGCUUACCUGCAUACCACAUGCCAGUUGCAGAAUCAGUUAACAGGAUACACAAGAAUCAAAACCAGUGAUUCAACAUAGAAAACAGAGGCCAAAUCAUGGUCAGCACCUCAAUAACUGCAUCUGAGGUAAGUUGCUGCACUGGUACUUCGCUUUUUGAGGUAUCAUACUUGAUUUUAUUCUCCAUAGAAGCUGCAUGCCCAUACCAAAUCAAUGUCAAAGCUCUCCUGAAAGAAUUAUAUAAUGAAUUUCAGAAUCCAACAACACGAGAAUCAUCACUCUCCCAGCAGAGAGAUCCUUAUUCUUAAAAUUUCUAAAGAGAACCCUUAAACCAAAUUGAAGGCUUUACGUUGUUGAACUACAUUCUCUCAGGUGCCACACUGUAUCGUGUAUACUAAAUGAAAACUCAAAUUUCAUGAAAAUUUGAAAUACAUCAGAAAGGCUUCUUGUCGUUCUCAGUUUCCAGGAUGUCUGUUUGGCAUAUAAGUUUUCUCAGAGCAUUAUCUCCCACGCACAUUGUAUAAAGAACAAGUACAACCAUUUCAUGACUCUGCUUUUAUCAUAAGUAAAUCAGGAAAACAGCUAAGCCCAUCUUAGGCAUGUUGAUAAUCAAUACCAUAUUUCCCCAAAGUCUAACAAGUUGGACUUCAACAGCAUCAUCUUACCAUUAAAAGACACUUACCAUCAAAUUUGUUGUUCUGCGCUACCACAAUUGGCGAACCCUCAAGCUGAAAUUAACAUUGAACCAAUUUUUUUAGAGAAACAAAAAUUCAUGCAUACAACAAAAAAUAAAGCGAAACAUAUGUUCACCUUGCAAGACAAGAGCUUAAUACAACAACCAUCAGGCUGCUCCUCCACUCUGACUAACAACACAGGGCAAACUUCAAAUGCAAAGAACUUAAAUCUGUAAACAUAACACCUGAAGGUGCUAUCAUCUACUCUUUCUAUCCUUUCCGCAUCCAACACCGAGUACUGACUAGCAGGCAAGCUCAUAUACUCGCCUGGAAAAAACAAUUUAUAAAAAAGAGAGAUACAAAAACACUUGAACACAUUUUACACUAGUUAAGCAUCUAGAAAAAUCAGUCAGCCGGAAAUGGAAUGAAAUAGUACUCAGAGGACGUUGGAGCUGUCGGACGGAGACGGACUCCGUCCGCCUUGCCACAAAUCGAGCCUUUGGAGCAGCAGAAUCAGCUGAAAUGCGAACUGAAGAUUUCGACGAAUCGUCAGUUAAACUGGAGAGUACUCGGGCAGAUAACCUAGGGUAUCUAAACCGGGACGAAAGCGAGCUCCAAUGCGUUGAAGAUGAACUCAAAGCCAUGUUCAUCUUCUCCCUUUUCUUUCAGAAGAAAUCUCGUUUAAUUGGAUCUGUGAUAGUUAGUUUUACGAGCAGAUGCGGGGAAGGAUAAGACCACGAGGGUAUGGUAGUCUUUCGCUAGGUGGCGACGAAAACAUCCGGCGCAUUGUGGCUAUGGGCCCACUGUUUCGGCUAAUUUACGCCUACUAAAGAUGACGCAAGUCCCAGAUAAGCAACAACUGCUGAUGUCACAAAAUCCAGUUAGACAUAUGAAUAUGCCGUAGUAAUUAGCUCAUUCCUCACGCAUUCUUCAGUUUUAUCGACCCGAUUUCGAUUGCAAUUAGUCAGUAAGUUUAUUAAUUAAUCCGGAUAAUUCAGCAUAGAUUAGCGCCAUAAACGUCGUCGCGCCAAUACUAGAACAAUCAAUAUGGAAAUUAGUCACAGAUUAUGCCUGGAAACUUAGAUUUGAUCAAUUACGAACCAGAGAUUCAUUACAUUCGAAAGACUUCAUCAACCAUUUUUACACUAACAACUACUACGGACAUCAAACCCUAAUUUCAACUCUAAACAUAGGAUUCUAGAAACAGAAAAAACCAAAAAAAAGCCCAAAAUAAGAUAAGAAAACCCUAGAAAUCAACCGUUUUCUCUUCAAUUUCCUCAAGAGCUAGUGAAUUUGGUAACAGCCUUGGUGCCUUCGGAGACGGCGUG